CGCGGCCCACCCAGUCCGCGAGAACCGGGCAGAUCGCCUCGACGGUACGGAGGCCGGCCGACGGGUCCGCCAAACGACGAGACCACGCCUCCAGCACGGACUGCCGAUAUUGGAGCCCCCGCGCUCCGGCUGCACUUGCGCUAGGGCGCGCCGCCUCGUAGGAGACUGUGAGGUGCUGUGGCAGGUCCAACCAGAGACGUCAACGUGUGUUCCAGAGCUUCAGUGUGUUACAGAUAAGUGGUUUUGGCUUCCCCUUUAUGUUCCAUUCAGGGUCAGAAUGUAGUCUUAUAAAACAAAGUCAUAGUAAUUUAUUCAAUGGUAAGCGGUUUCAUGAACAAGUCACUCUUUGAUCUGAAAGUAACUUAGACCAAUCAUGAUGGCAAGAGCACUUAGGGGAUAUUCAACUCGCCCUUAAUAGUGCACGUUGUCGAGUAACAGGGUUUACUCCAAUAGAAUAGACGUUUGCCGUUCAGGGUAGUUCACUUGAAAUAUCUAAAGUUUCAACAGAGUGAUAAUCCCUCUAGAUUAGAUCUUGAUUUAGCACGGUCGAAGACCGGCGAAAACAUAAAAAAAGGGCACAAACAGAAGCUUGGUUUAGUCGAGGCAAAGCUAAAGUCAAACUCUUUUCCGCUGGGGAUUUUGUUUUCGUAAGUUGACCGAAAAUGUAAAGGUCCCUUCAACAUUACUGCAGUUUUGGAAAACGAUAGGUAUAAAUUGAGACAUGUAAAUAGUUCUAAUAGAGUGUACAAAUUUCCCCAUGAAAACUUACGUGAAAUACCUCGAGGCCCGUCAGGCCUACUAGAAAUUUCUGAAAAUUAUAGUGACGAUGACGUGACGGCGUACACAGAUGGGUUAAUUAAUCUUGUUCAUGAAACUGAUCUUAAUGAUGACGACUCUAUCACUGACAAUAGAAGCGACAUUUUUGUCCGCAAAUAGCGAUACAGCAAACAUAGUCUGUGGGUAGUGAUACAAUGUCUGUAAGCUCAGGCACCUCAGGUGCAGGUGUUGGAAAUGUAGAAAACGAUGGUCGGUCUCGCACUAUUUCUGAAGAAAUUCCGUAUAAAUGUUCUGGUUUAAGAAAUGUUUUAACAAACGCUACCGUACACGCAGAUUAAAAAAAAAAAAAAAAAAGAAAAAAAAAGAGAAUUGUAUGUGGCUAGAGAGAUGUUAAUCCGGACUAGCAAAAAAAAAAGAGAAAAAAAAGUGUGAAGUCAUUGAAGGGUCUGUCCGGUCCAAUGGCUUGGCUAUAGGGAUUUUCAUCCAGAUUAGCCACAACAAUUAGCUACAGGGAUUGCGAUUCGGUCUAGCAUUAUCCGGUCCAGUUCGAAAAACUGAAGGGAUAACAA
This 1346-nucleotide long non-coding RNA is filed under the name Bombyx mandarina (wild silkworm). RNAcentral's name for it is "uncharacterized LOC114241751". The record is from RNAcentral. Lineage: Eukaryota; Metazoa; Arthropoda; Insecta; Lepidoptera; Bombycidae.